GGCCUACGGGAGGCAGCAGUGGGGAAUAUUGCACAAUGGGGGAAACCCUGAUGCAGCGACGCCGCGUGAGUGAAGAAGUAUUUCGGUAUGUAAAGCUCUGUCAGCAGGGAAGAAAAUGACGGUACCUGACCAAGAAGCCCCGGCUAACUACGUGCCAGCAGCCGCGGUAAUACGUAGGGGGCAAGCGUUAUCCGGAUUUACUGGGUGUAAAGGGAGCGUAGACGGCCAAGCAAGCCAGGGGUGAAAGCCCGGGGCCCAACCCCGGGACUGCCCUUGGAACUGCAUGGCUGGAGUGCGGGAGGGGG
RNAcentral lists this ribosomal RNA (305 nucleotides) under uncultured bacterium. RNAcentral describes it as "bacterial SSU rRNA". It matches the Rfam family "Bacterial small subunit ribosomal RNA", at positions 335 to 658 of the family's 1533-position model. The record is from RNAcentral.